UACAGAGGGUGCGAGCGUUAAUCGGAAUUACUGGGCGUAAAGCGCACGUAGGCGGCGCAGCAAGUCAGGGGUGAAAUCCCGGGGCUCAACCCCGGAACUGCCCUUGAAACUGCAGUGCUAGAAUCUUGGAGAGGCGAGUGGAAUUCCGAGUGUAGAGGUGAAAUUCGUAGAUAUUCGGAAGAACACCAGUGGCGAAGGCGACUCGCUGGACAAGUAUUGACGCUGAGGUGCGAAAGCGUGGGGAGCAAACAGG
Molecule: ribosomal RNA, 253 nt
Filed under: uncultured bacterium
Lineage: Bacteria
Description: partial 16S ribosomal RNA
Rfam family: Bacterial small subunit ribosomal RNA
Source: RNAcentral